CGUAGGGUGCGAGCGUUAAUCGGAAUUACUGGGCGUAAAGCGUGCGCAGGCGGUGAUGUAAGACAGGUGUGAAAUCCCCGGGCUUAACCUGGGAACUGCAUUCGUGACUGCAUCGCUGGAGUGCGGCAGAGGGGGAUGGAAUUCCGCGUGUAGCAGUGAAAUGCGUAGAUAUGCGGAGGAACACCGAUGGCGAAGGCAAUCCCCUGGGCCUGCACUGACGCUCAUGCACGAAAGCGUGGGGAGCAAACAGGAUUAGAUACCCUGGUAGUCCACGCCCUAAACGAUGUCAACUGGUUGUUGGGUCUUCACUGACUCAGUAACGAAGCUAACGCGUGAAGUUGACCGCCUGGGGAGUACGGCCGCAAGGUUG
This 370-nucleotide ribosomal RNA is filed under the name uncultured organism. RNAcentral's name for it is "bacterial SSU rRNA". It matches the Rfam family "Bacterial small subunit ribosomal RNA", at positions 526 to 896 of the family's 1533-position model. The record is from RNAcentral.